CCCGCUGAACUUAAGCAUAUCAGUAAGCGGAGGAAAAGAAACUAACGAGGAUUCCCCUAGUAACGGCGAGUGAAGCGGGAACAGCCCAUGGUAGAAACUUGGCACAGAGUGUCACGUAAUGUACCGUGGAGAGUGGGAGAUUUACUAGUUGACACAUGCAAGUUCUUUGGAAAGAGACGGCAAAGAGGGUGAAACCCCCGUGGCAUGUGAACUCUAGUCAAUCUUGUGCUCAGCGAGUCGGAUUGUUUGGGAAUGCAAUCCCAAUUGGGUGGUACGCGCCAUCUAAGGCUAAACAAGGGCAAGAGACCGAUAGCAAACAAGUACCGUGAGGGAAAGAUGAAAAGGACUCUGAAGAGAGAGUCAAAAGUGCGUGAAAUUGCAGCAAGGGAAACGAACGGGGGAUGUGGAUGGUUGUGUGUAGCAGGGUGACGAGGAGUGAGUGAAGGUAGUGACAGGAAUGUCAAACUUAUAGCACUGAUUGACUAGUUAUUCGCAACAGGCAACCAGAUUCCCUUGUUUGACCCGUCUUGAAACACGG
RNAcentral lists this ribosomal RNA (538 nucleotides) under uncultured fungus. Its description in RNAcentral is "eukaryotic LSU rRNA". It matches the Rfam family "Eukaryotic large subunit ribosomal RNA", at positions 24 to 664 of the family's 3401-position model. The record is from RNAcentral. Lineage: Eukaryota; Fungi.